AAAUCCCACGGCUCAACCGUGGGGCUUGCUGGGGAUACUGCGGGCCUUGGGACCGGGAGAGGCGGGGGGUACCCCUGGGGUAGGGGUGAAAUCCUAUAAUCCCAGGGGGACCGCCAGUGGCGAAGGCGCCCCGCUGGAACGGGUCCGACGGUGAGGGACGAAGGCCAGGGGAGCGAACCGGAUUAGAUACCCGGGUAGUCCUGACUGUAAAGGAUGCGGGCUAGGUGUCGGGCGAGCUUCGAGCUCGCCCGGUGCCGAAGGGAAGCCGUUAAGCCCGCCGCCUGGGGAGUACGGCCGCAAGGCUGAAACUUAAAGGAAUUGGCGGGGGAGCACUACAAGGGGUGGAGCGUGCGGUUUAAUUGGAUUCAACGCCGGGAACCUCACCGGGGGCGACGGCAGGAUGAAGGCCAGGCUGAAGGUCUUGCCGGACACGCCGAGAGGAGGUGCAUGGCCGCCGUCAGCUCGUACCGUGAGGCGUCCACUUAAGUGUGGUAACGAGCGAGACCCGCGCCCCCAGUUGCCAGUCCUCCCCGCUGGGGAGGAGGCACUCUGGGGGGACCGCCGGCGAUAAGCCGGAGGAAGGAGCGGGCGACGGUAGGUCAGUAUGCCCCGAAACCCCCGGGCUACACGCGCGCUACAAUGGGCGGGACAAUGGGAUCCGACCCCGAAAGGGGAAGGGAAUCCCCUAAACCCGCCCCCAGUUCGGAUCGCGGGCUGCAACUCGCCCGCGUGAAGCUGGAAUCCCUAGUACCCGCGUGUCAUCAUCGCGCGGCGAAUACGUCCCUGCUCCUUGCACACACCGCCCGUCACUCCACCCGAGCGGGGUCUGGGUGAGGCCUGAUCUCCCUUCGGGGAGGUCGGGUCGAGCCUGGGCUCCGUGAGGGGGGAGAAGUCGUAACAAGGUAGCCGUAGGGGAACCUACGGCUCGAUCACCUCCU
RNAcentral lists this ribosomal RNA (938 nucleotides) under uncultured Thermococcales archaeon. Its description in RNAcentral is "bacterial SSU rRNA". It matches the Rfam family "Archaeal small subunit ribosomal RNA", at positions 547 to 1478 of the family's 1478-position model. Lineage: Archaea; Methanobacteriati; Methanobacteriota; Thermococci; Thermococcales. The record is from RNAcentral.